AAGUCGUAACAAGGUUUCCGUAGGUGAACCUGCGGAAGGAUCAUUAUAGUGAAAAGCUAUAGACUUGGUGUCUAAGGAUGAAACCAUAAAGGUUAAUCCUACACCGCCCAACCUUGUCAAUAAAUUUAACGUUACCUCGGUAGGUUAGCCUGCCGGUGGACAAUUUAAAACCCUUUUUAAACAUACUUAUAAAUACACUUGUCUGAUAAUUUUUAUAAUAAAAUUAAAACUUUCAACAACGGAUCUCUUGGUUCUG
This 256-nucleotide unclassified non-coding RNA is filed under the name uncultured Mycosphaerellaceae. RNAcentral's name for it is "sequence contains ITS1". The stretch from base 1 to 46 matches the Rfam family "Eukaryotic small subunit ribosomal RNA", at positions 1786 to 1831 of the family's 1831-position model. Lineage: Eukaryota; Fungi; Ascomycota; Dothideomycetes; Mycosphaerellales; Mycosphaerellaceae. The record is from RNAcentral. RNAcentral also lists the same sequence under 1 other name.